This 382-nucleotide ribosomal RNA is filed under the name uncultured bacterium. RNAcentral's name for it is "bacterial SSU rRNA". It matches the Rfam family "Bacterial small subunit ribosomal RNA", at positions 28 to 410 of the family's 1533-position model. The record is from RNAcentral.
GAUGAACGCUGGCGGCGUGCUUAACACAUGCAAGUCGAACGGAAAGGCCCAAGCUUGCUUGGGUACUCGAGUGGCGAACGGGUGAGUAACACGUGGGUGAUCUGCCCUGCACUUCGGGAUAAGCCUGGGAAACUGGGUCUAAUACCGGAUAGGACAAUGGUUUGGAUGCCGUUGUGGAAAGUUUUUUCGGUGUGGGAUGAGCUCGCGGCCUAUCAGCUUGUUGGUGGGGUAAUGGCCUACCAAGGCGUCGACGGGUAGCCGGCCUGAGAGGGUGUACGGCCACAUUGGGACUGAGAUACGGCCCAGACUCCUACGGGAGGCAGCAGUGGGGAAUAUUGCACAAUGGGCGCAAGCCUGAUGCAGCGACGCCGCGUGGGGGAUG